AUACGAAGGUCCCAAGCGUUAUUCGGAAUCACUGGGCGUAAAGAGUACGUAGGCGGUUUGGUAAGUCAGGUGUGAAAUCCCGGAGCUCAACUCCGGAACUGCAUCCGAUACUGCCAGACUUGAGUAAUGGAGAGGCAGGUGGAAUUCUCGGUGUAGCAGUGAAAUGCGUGGAUAUCGAGAGGAAGACCAAUGGCGAAGGCAGCCUGCUGGACAUUUACUGACGAUGAGGUACGAAGGCUAGGGGAGCGAAAGGGAUUAGAAACCCCAGUAGUCC
This 274-nucleotide ribosomal RNA is filed under the name uncultured bacterium. Its description in RNAcentral is "partial 16S ribosomal RNA". It matches the Rfam family "Bacterial small subunit ribosomal RNA", at positions 523 to 796 of the family's 1533-position model. The record is from RNAcentral.